RNAcentral lists this transfer RNA (73 nucleotides) under Acropyga panamensis. RNAcentral's name for it is "tRNA-Leu". Lineage: Eukaryota; Metazoa; Arthropoda; Insecta; Hymenoptera; Formicidae. The record is from RNAcentral.
AUUACUUUGACAGAUAAGUGUGUUAAAUUUAGAAUUUAAUUAUAUAUAUUGAUAUAAAAAUAUGUAGGUAAUA